RNAcentral lists this ribosomal RNA (697 nucleotides) under uncultured Gilliamella sp. RNAcentral's name for it is "bacterial SSU rRNA". It matches the Rfam family "Bacterial small subunit ribosomal RNA", at positions 662 to 1357 of the family's 1533-position model. The record is from RNAcentral. Lineage: Bacteria; Pseudomonadati; Pseudomonadota; Gammaproteobacteria; Orbales; Orbaceae.
UAGAAUUCCACGUGUAGCGGUGAAAUGCGUAGAGAUGUGGAGGAAUACCGGUGGCUAAGGCGGCCUUCUGGACAGAUACUGACGCUGAGAUGCGAAAGCGUGGGGAGCAAACAGGAUUAGAUACCCUGGUAGUCCACGCUGUAAACGAUGUCUAUUUGGAGUUUGUUGCCUUGAGUGAUGGGCUCCGAAGCUAACGCGAUAAAUCGACCGCCUGGGGAGUACGGCCGCAAGGUUAAAACUCAAAUGAAUUGACGGGGGCCCGCACAAGCGGUGGAGCAUGUGGUUUAAUUCGAUGCAACGCGAAGAACCUUACCUGGUCUUGACAUCCACAGAAUCUUGCAGAGAUGCGAGAGUGCCUUCGGGAACUGUGAGACAGGUGCUGCAUGGGCUGUCGUCAGCUCGUGUUGUGGAAUGUUGGGGUUAAGUCCCGCAACGAGCGCAACCCUUAUCCUUUGUUGCCAGCGAUUUGGUCGGGAACUCAAAGGAGACUGCCGUUGAUAAAGCGGAGGAAGGUGGGGACGACGUCAAGUCAUCAUGGCCCUUACGACCAGGGCUACACACGUGCUACAAUGGCGUAUACAAAGGGAGGCGACCUCGCGAGAGCAAGCGGACCUCAUAAAGUACGUCUAAGUCCGGAUUGGAGUCUGCAACUCGACUCCAUGAAGACGGAAUCGCUAGUAAUCGUGAAUCAGAAUGU